GCUCCAAGUACUUUUAAUGUAAAAAAGAGGUCAAGCUUCCAGAUGUUUCCACCGAUUCAUAAAUAAUUGACUACUGUUACAGUUACACUGUAUUGUAAUAAAGUUAAUCCAUGUGGCUAGUAUUAGUUUGAGUAGUAUAAAACAGUUCAAUCAAUAUUUAAGUAAAUCAUAACAUUAGCUCUUAUUAGUAGUGUUUAUAACAUCCUUUUUAUACCAAUUUAUCUUUCUGGCCAAUGUACUAUUCAGAUAGCAAAGCUUAUCAAGUAGUAAAGUUAUUAACUAAGUGCAAAAUUACAAGACAUAUUUUAAUCCCAAAGAUUGUCUUAAACACUGUAAUUCAUGUAGAAAAUGUUUAUCCUGUCAGCAAUACUCAUAAAAUCCACAUGUAAUGUUUCUCUUCUUCUCUCCCUAAGGCUCACAUUUAUUCACUGUCUUCUCUUUUUUAACCUAGUUGUUCUCCAAAGGUCUCUGGGGACAAGAAGUAUUUUUUCAAUAAACUACCUGCUGUAGACUUUUUUUAUCUUUGCUCCACUGAACAGUCCUGCCCUAGCAU
RNAcentral lists this long non-coding RNA (553 nucleotides) under Homo sapiens (human). RNAcentral describes it as "non-protein coding lnc-FER-15:1". The record is from RNAcentral. Lineage: Eukaryota; Metazoa; Chordata; Mammalia; Primates; Hominidae.